RNAcentral lists this ribosomal RNA (255 nucleotides) under Escherichia coli. RNAcentral's name for it is "partial 16S ribosomal RNA". It matches the Rfam family "Bacterial small subunit ribosomal RNA", at positions 155 to 403 of the family's 1533-position model. Lineage: Bacteria; Pseudomonadati; Pseudomonadota; Gammaproteobacteria; Enterobacterales; Enterobacteriaceae. The record is from RNAcentral.
AACCGGGGCUAAUACCGAAUGAUAAAGUGUGGCGCAUGCCACGCUUUUGAAAGAUGGUUUCGGCUAUCGCUUACAGAUGGGCCCGCGGUGCAUUAGCUAGUUGGUAGGGUAAUGGCCUACCAAGGCAACGAUGCAUAGCCGACCUGAGAGGGUGAUCGGCCACACUGGGACUGAGACACGGCCCAGACUCCUACGGGAGGCAGCAGUAGGGAAUCUUCCGCAAUGGACGAAAGUCUGACGGAGCAACGCCGCGUG